This 1458-nucleotide long non-coding RNA is filed under the name Amborella trichopoda. Its description in RNAcentral is "long non-coding RNA (ATRI_LNC002441)". Lineage: Eukaryota; Viridiplantae; Streptophyta; Magnoliopsida; Amborellales; Amborellaceae. The record is from RNAcentral.
AUAAAUUGUGAUGAUUCCAUAUUCUUGAAUUUGUAUAAGAAUUUUUCUAUACGUAUUAGAUUGGCAAUUAUGCUAGAAUGUCUUUACGAAAAUCUACCUUUCUAAAUUUGAGCCCAAAAUAUUUAAUUGGUUAUUUUUGAAAUGUUAUUGAAAGUGACUGUUAUUAAUGGUUUCAGUGAAAUUCAUAUUAAUGAUUUCAGUGAUAUGUUGAGUACAUGAUAUUGUUGCUUUCGAAUGUUUAAAGAGAUUUAAAAAUAUUUUAAGUAUAUGCAAGUGGACUCAUCCGGUUCGCCGGUGAGGUUUAAUUCGACCUAUUCGGGACGCCGGUAGGGAUUAAGUGGACUCAUCCGGUACGUCGGUGAGGUAUAAGUGGACUUGCAGGGAUUAAGUGGACCUAUAUGAGAUGUCGAUAGGGAUUAAGUGGACCCAUCAAGACGCUGAUGGGUAAUAUAAGUGACCUACUUGGGACGCCGUAGGGUAUUUUGUGAAAUCCUUUGAAUUAUGCACUGCCGUUGCAAUGUUAUAUGCAUUUCAAUUAUUCGGAUUAUACUUAAUUAUGCAUUUUUGGAAGUGAAACUGUUACUGCAUUUCUGUUAAUAGAUCUCCUUUUUGGAAAUAUUGAUAUCUUUCAACCAUGAUUAUUUUUAGGAUUAUGAUGAGCACUUACUGAGUAGCCAAACUCAUCAAACUAUGGUAAAUAUUUUUCAGAAUAACUGCGGUUUCAUUUGAGUGCUCGUCAGGAUCCACUUUGGGAAGAUAUUGUAGUUGUGCUUAAACUUUUUUUUGUUACUUUUCAAAAAUUCGCCAUCGUAAUUUUGUCUUAAAAAGAGAUGUAUAUAUAUGUUUUGACUGUGACAUCUCAGGAAUAUCAGUAUUGUAAAUUCUUGGGGUGUGACAAUUAUGGUAUCGGAGCAAUAGGUUUAAGAUUCUUAGGAAAUUUAAAAAUCUUUUUCAAUAAUCAGGUACACAAAUUUAGAGCACUAAAUUUCUUUAAGGGGGGAAGAAUGUAACAAUCUUAAACUUUUUUUUAAAAAAAAAAAAAGAAGAAGAAAAGAAACUUUUAAUACAUGAUGAUUCUUUUGAACAUGAUGGUCCUUAGGGACCAUCGCUACUUUUAAAAGCUUUUGGUUUAAAAGCUUUGUUGCUUCUUUGCUCUUGCCACGUCCACUAAAGGACGUGGGCUUUAGGCGUUUAAAGCGUAUUUUAACGCUUACACCUGUAACGUAAUAAAAGAAUAAAAUAAUAUGUUAGUAGAAAUUAAAUUGCUCACACCUGUAACGUAAUAAAAGAAUAAAAUAAUAUGUUAGUAGAAAUUAAAUUUAGAGAGGUGAAGACUCCUACCUUAGAAAACUUAUAAGAUUUUUUUCUCUCUCUUGUCGAAACACAGUGAACUUCUCUGUCUAGCUGAAUUUUUAUCGGAAGCUCCCUCUCAAAUAUUUUAUGUAUAAGUGACAUCAU